This 251-nucleotide ribosomal RNA is filed under the name uncultured bacterium. RNAcentral's name for it is "partial 16S ribosomal RNA". It matches the Rfam family "Bacterial small subunit ribosomal RNA", at positions 524 to 776 of the family's 1533-position model. The record is from RNAcentral.
UACAGAGGGUGCAAGCGUUAAUCGGAAUUACUGGGCGUAAAGCGUGCGCAGACGGUUGCGUAAGUCAGAUGUGAAGCCCCGGGCUCAACCUGGGAAUUGCAUUUGAGACUGCGUAGCUAGGGUGCGGAAGAGGGAAGCGGAAUUUCCGGUGUAGCGGUGAAAUGCGUAGAUAUCGGAAGGAACACCAGUGGCGAAAGCGGCUUCCUGGUCCAGCACCGACGUCAGGCACGAAAGCGUGGGGAGCAAACAGG